Carassius carassius (crucian carp) is the source of this 1778-nucleotide long non-coding RNA. RefSeq lists it as uncharacterized. The transcript has 3 exons. The record is from RefSeq and is a predicted model, not a curated record. Lineage: Eukaryota; Metazoa; Chordata; Actinopteri; Cypriniformes; Cyprinidae.
GGUAAAGAACUUCAGUGCGCAACGCAGGGUGCGUAUCACGAAAAAACACAGGAGGUGAAUGACAGGACUGAUAAUGCGCUCGCUGUCGUUAGAACUUUGAUUACGUGGCGCUUAUUCAGACAUAUUCCACACAUGGCAGAUCUCCUGGAGACUGGACAAUGAAACUUGUCCAUCUACACUAUAGAUGCAUGACUAAUUUUGCCUUUUGACAGUUGCAGUGCUUAAACGAUAGAGGGAAUAAAAUCAAACGCGUGUAAGAAAUAUAGUUUCCAGGGGUGGAAAGACUUUAAAGGAUAUGGUGAUAUGAAGCUUUUUAGUCACUAAAGCAUUGCUGAAAUCGUUCUAAGCUUCCAGGCGCCGAAGAGGAGGAGGAGGAGGAGGAUGUUUUUUGGAUUUGUGCCUCUUCAACAGAAGCAAGGCUUAUUUAAGAAGAAAGAUCAUGGUGGCUGUCAGAGGGAAGGAUUCGGGAUCCGAGCAGCUGAAGGAAGCCAGUGAGGAGAGCUACGAAGCGGCCACGGCUGAGAGCACACUCGGGAGUCUACUCCGCUGGGGUUAAAGAGUGCAGUGUGCACUACUUCCUGCCGCAGGUAGAGCUGUCACAGUGUGGUGUGGAGCUCUAGCUGUGUCAUAGGCUUGCCGUGUCCUUGCUGCGAGAGCUGCUCUGCUGGAUAUCGCAAUCGUUCUCACACGCACAAGCAGAGGAAUCUAUAUCCCGCCAUCGGCAUGGAGAAGUGCUGUUCUGAGUGUUCAGAGCCCAGGAUGGCACAGAGCUUGUGCACCUUCUGCAACAAGUGGAUGUGUUUCCAGUGCACAGACUUGCAUCAGCAUGAGAGAAGCUCCACUCAAACCUUUGACCUGCAGCACCAGCCACGAGACCCUCCUUCACCGUCUGAAAUAGGCAAGAGAAUUUUUCUUUUACUGAUCUGUAAUUACUUUCCUCUUUCAGCUCAGGUCGGCUGUUUGCGUGCACAUUUCUGCUCUUGGCCACCGGACAUUAUCAGCUCUGCACGAUAUUUUUUUUCAACCCCUCUUCUUAAACUCAAUGAAUAAUGCAUUUUAUAAUUGUCCUGUGAUGUAUUGUAGUGUUGUAUUUUUUUUAUGUGACCCACUUUCUAAAACUGAUUCUCUCUAAGCAAACGCAGCACAAUUUUGGCCAGCCUGUCCGAGGCUAGCUUUCUUUUAUCGAUACUCCUGAGCUUUCUCUCAAGAUUCUCUGAAAUCCACGCAUGAUAAUGACACCACAAGUCCUCACACAAAAUGAAAGAUGGAGUGAUAAAAGAGCAUAAGAAAAAGAAAGGGUGGUAGAGUGUGAGAGAAACAGAAGUGCGGGUGUGAAGCAGGAUGUGGUCGGUCACCAGUAUGCACUGAGGCAGUGGGAGCUCUUCAGUGUUGGAGCCUGUGGUCUCGUACUUUAACACAUCUCUCCCUGUGCAAUGUGUCAGCGUGUCUCUGUCUACCCUACACUGUCACAGCAUCAGCCGGCCGGCGCUUCUGAUGGACAGACUGUAUAUCCAGUGUGACAGGUGCUGUCGGUUGAGGUCCUUCAUUUCUGCAUUCUGCCUGACUAACUCUCUCUGCACACAGAAUUAUGUAUGCAAAGGGACUAUUCAAGUAAUGGUUUAUUUAGAUUAGGAUUUUUGCUACAAUGGAACGGAAAUGAGAAUGUUUGAUUUAUUUGUUUACGCCUUUUGCUUCAGCCCAGGUUAAUGCAGAUGUCUUUAUUCAAAGAAAUUAAUUUCUGGAAAAAAAACUUUGCCAGGCAUCUCUGGUGUUUUCUU